UAAGGAAUAUUGGUCAAUGGACGCAAGUCUGAACCAGCCAUGCCGCGUGGAGGAUGAAGGCCCUCUGGGUUGUAAACUUCUUUUAUUUGGGAAGAAACCACUCUUUUCUAAGGGUGUUGACGGUACCAUUUGAAUAAGCACCGGCUAACUCCGUGCCAGCAGCCGCGGUAAUACGGAGGGUGCAAGCGUUAUCCGGAUUCACUGGGUUUAAAGGGUGCGUAGGUGGGCAGGUAAGUCAGUGGUGAAAUCUCUGGGCUUAACCCAGAAACUGCCGUUGAUACUAUCUGUCUUGAAUGUAGUGGAGGUGAGCGGAAUAUGUCAUGUAGCGGUGAAAUGCUUAGAUAUGACAUAGAACACCCAUUGCGAAGGCAGCUCGCUACACUAUUAUUGACACUGAGGCACGAAAGCGUGGGGAUCAAACA
This 422-nucleotide ribosomal RNA is filed under the name uncultured Puia sp. Its description in RNAcentral is "bacterial SSU rRNA". It matches the Rfam family "Bacterial small subunit ribosomal RNA", at positions 355 to 774 of the family's 1533-position model. Lineage: Bacteria; Pseudomonadati; Bacteroidota; Chitinophagia; Chitinophagales; Chitinophagaceae. The record is from RNAcentral.